This 972-nucleotide ribosomal RNA is filed under the name Gilliamella sp. Nev3-1. RNAcentral's name for it is "bacterial SSU rRNA". It matches the Rfam family "Bacterial small subunit ribosomal RNA", at positions 1 to 964 of the family's 1533-position model. The record is from RNAcentral. Lineage: Bacteria; Pseudomonadati; Pseudomonadota; Gammaproteobacteria; Orbales; Orbaceae.
UUAAAUUGAAGAGUUUGAUCAUGGCUCAGAUUGAACGCUGGCGGCAGGCUUAACACAUGCAAGUCGAACGGUAACAUGAGUGCUUGCACUUGAUGACGAGUGGCGGACGGGUGAGUAAAGUAUGGGGAUCUGCCGAAUGGAGGGGGACAACAGUUGGAAACGACUGCUAAUACCGCAUAAAGUUGAGAGACCAAAGCAUGGGACCUUUGGGCCAUGCGCCAUUUGAUGAACCCAUAUGGGAUUAGCUAGUAGGUGGGGUAAAGGCUCACCUAGGCGACGAUCUCUAGCUGGUCUGAGAGGAUGGCCAGCCACACUGGAACUGAGACACGGUCCAGACUCCUACGGGAGGCAGCAGUGGGGAAUAUUGCACAAUGGGGGGAACCCUGAUGCAGCCAUGCCGCGUGUAUGAAGAAGGCCUUCGGGUUGUAAAGUACUUUCGGUGAUGAGGAAGGUGUUGUAUCUAAUAGGUGCAACAAUUGACGUUAAUUACAGAAGAAGCACCGGCUAACUCCGUGCCAGCAGCCGCGGUAAUACGGAGGGUGCGAGCGUUAAUCGGAAUGACUGGGCGUAAAGGGCAUGUAGGCGGAUAAUUAAGUUAGGUGUGAAAGCCCUGGGCUCAACCUAGGAAUUGCACUUAAAACUGGUUAACUAGAGUAUUGUAGAGGAAGGUAGAAUUCCACGUGUAGCGGUGAAAUGCGUAGAGAUGUGGAGGAAUACCGGUGGCGAAGGCGGCCUUCUGGACAGAUACUGACGCUGAGAUGCGAAAGCGUGGGGAGCAAACAGGAUUAGAUACCCUGGUAGUCCACGCUGUAAACGAUGUCGAUUUGGAGUUUGUUGCCUAGAGUGAUGGGCUCCGAAGCUAACGCGAUAAAUCGACCGCCUGGGGAGUACGGCCGCAAGGUUAAAACUCAAAUGAAUUGACGGGGGCCCGCACAAGCGGUGGAGCAUGUGGUUUAAUUCGAUGCAACGCGA